AUGCUUUAGUUUCCGGUCCCGCUAUCUACACUAACUGACAUAUACACACACAUUACGAAAACCUAUGAGUAGAAAGUGAUUCCCGCCAGCCACGAUAAUGGGCUGUCAUGAAUCUUCCGGAGCGCAAAGCGGGUGCAGGGAAGUUAUUUAAUGACAAACUCUGCUUUUAUGACCGUUGAGUGCUCCUUUAUGGGAGCUUCGAGGAAGGAGUGUAUUCUGAGGGGU
This is a small nucleolar RNA of Lampris incognitus (smalleye Pacific opah), 225 nucleotides long. RefSeq annotates it as small nucleolar RNA U3. NCBI's taxonomy places the organism in Eukaryota, Metazoa, Chordata, Actinopteri, Lampriformes, Lampridae. The record is from RefSeq and is a predicted model, not a curated record. The transcript has a single exon.